GCGGCCUAUCAGCUUGUUGGUGAGGUAAUGGCUCACCAAGGCAACGACGGGUAGCCGGCCUGAGAGGGCGACCGGCCACACUGGGACUGAGACACGGCCCAGACUCCUACGGGAGGCAGCAGUGGGGAAUAUUGGGCAAUGGAGGGAACUCUGACCCAGCGACGCCGCGUGCGGGAUGAAGGCCUUCGGGUUGUAAACCGCUUUCAGCAAGGAAGAAGCGAAAGUGACGGUACUUGCAGAAGAAGCACCGGCUAACUAUGUGCCAGCAGCCGCGGUAAUACAUAGGGUGCAAGCGUUGUCCGGAAUUAUUGGGCGUAGAGAGCUCGUAGGUGGUUCGUCACGUCGGAUGUGAAAAUCUGGGGCUUAACCCCAGACCUGCAUUCGAUACGGGCGAGCUAGAGUGUGGUAGGGGAGACUGGAAUUCCU
Molecule: ribosomal RNA, 426 nt
Filed under: uncultured Actinomycetes bacterium
Lineage: Bacteria; Bacillati; Actinomycetota; Actinomycetes
Description: bacterial SSU rRNA
Rfam family: Bacterial small subunit ribosomal RNA
Source: RNAcentral